CCUACGGGUGGCAGCAGUGGGGAAUAUUGGACAAUGGGCGAAAGCCUGAUCCAGCCAUGCCGCGUGUGUGAAGAAGGCCUUCGGGUUGUAAAGCACUUUCAGUGGGGAAGAAAGCCUUGGGGCUAAUACCCUCGAGGAAGGACAUCACCCACAGAAGAAGCACCGGCUAACUCCGUGCCAGCAGCCGCGGUAAUACGGAGGGUGCGAGCGUUAAUCGGAAUUACUGGGCGUAAAGCGCGCGUAGGCGGUCUGAUAAGCCGGUUGUGAAAGCCCCGGGCUCAACCUGGGAACGGCAUCCGGAACUGUCAGGCUAGAGUGCAGGAGAGGAAGGUAGAAUUCCCGGUGUAGCGGUGAAAUGCGUAGAGAUCGGGAGGAAUACCAGAGGCGAAGGCGGCCUUCUGGACUGACACUGACGCUGAGGUGCGAAAGCGUGGGUAGCAAACAGGAUUAGAUACCCCAGUAGUC
RNAcentral lists this ribosomal RNA (465 nucleotides) under Vreelandella stevensii. Its description in RNAcentral is "partial 16S ribosomal RNA". It matches the Rfam family "Bacterial small subunit ribosomal RNA", at positions 338 to 795 of the family's 1533-position model. Lineage: Bacteria; Pseudomonadati; Pseudomonadota; Gammaproteobacteria; Oceanospirillales; Halomonadaceae. The record is from RNAcentral.